UACGUAGGGUGCGAGCGUUGUCCGGAAUUAUUGGGCGUAAAGGGCUCGUAGGCGGUCUGUUGCGUCGGGAGUGAAAACUCAGGGCUUAACCCUGAGCCUGCUUCCGAUACGGGCAGACUAGAGGUAUGCAGGGGAGAACGGAAUUCCUGGUGUAGCGGUGAAAUGCGCAGAUAUCCGGAGGAACACCGGUGGCGAAGGCGGCUUCCUGGACCGACACUGACGCUGAGGCGCGAAAGCUAGGGGAGCAAACGGG
Molecule: ribosomal RNA, 253 nt
Filed under: uncultured bacterium
Lineage: Bacteria
Description: partial 16S ribosomal RNA
Rfam family: Bacterial small subunit ribosomal RNA
Source: RNAcentral